AAUGGCAGGGCAGAUAUGAUCCCAAAGGUGAUUUUCCCAGGGUAAGGCCUAUCCUAAGGGGCAGGCUGAUUCCUGUGAGUUUCCUAAAAUGCAGGAAACUUGACUGCACAAUUCUGGGGUAAUGGGAGACUGCAUUCAUGCUUUUCCCCU
Molecule: small nuclear RNA, 150 nt
Filed under: Crocodylus porosus (Australian saltwater crocodile)
Lineage: Eukaryota; Metazoa; Chordata; Crocodylia; Crocodylidae
Description: U1 spliceosomal RNA (ENSCPRG00005005830.1)
Rfam family: U1 spliceosomal RNA
About the family: U1 is a small nuclear RNA (snRNA) component of the spliceosome (involved in pre-mRNA splicing).
Source: RNAcentral